UACGGAGGGUGCAAGCGUUGUCCGGAAUCACUGGGCGUAAAGGGCGCGUAGGCGGCUCAUGAAGGCUGUGGUGAAAGUCCGGGGCUCAACCCGGGAGGGUCGCGGCGAACUGUCAGGCUCGAGUCCGGAAGAGGCGAGUGGAAUUCCUGGUGUAGCGGUGAAAUGCGCAGAUAUCAGGAAGAACACCCGUGGCUAAGGCGGCUCUCUAGUACGGUACUGACGCUGAGACGCGAAAGCGUGGGGAGCGAACAGG
This 253-nucleotide ribosomal RNA is filed under the name uncultured bacterium. Its description in RNAcentral is "partial 16S ribosomal RNA". It matches the Rfam family "Bacterial small subunit ribosomal RNA", at positions 524 to 776 of the family's 1533-position model. The record is from RNAcentral.